Long non-coding RNA from Aegilops tauschii subsp. strangulata, 2049 nucleotides. RefSeq lists it as uncharacterized. The record is from RefSeq and is a predicted model, not a curated record. NCBI's taxonomy places the organism in Eukaryota, Viridiplantae, Streptophyta, Magnoliopsida, Poales, Poaceae.
CCCGAUUCACAUCUCCAAUCCCGUCGCCGACACUCACCCCCACCCCCACCGGCGGCCGUCUCCCCCAAUCCCAUCACCACAGCGACCUCCCUCCCUCACUCCCUAGCUCUCCCUCCCGCAGGUCCGUCCGACCCAUGGGCGGAUGAGGUCCGAAACCCUAUCCCUUCACCCACCCACCAAUGGAUGGAUGGGGAAGGGCGACGAUGGUGCGAUGGCAGAGACGUCCAUGGCGAACGCGAGCCGGCAUCCGACCAUCUCCGGCGAGCCCGACCACAGCGACCACGGAUCUCCGACCAUGGUUGCUCCGAUGCUGCUGCUGCUCCCUCCUUUGCUCUGCGUCCUCCUCCUAGCUGCUGCUCCCUCCUCUGCUCUGCCUCCUCCUAGCUGCUGCUCCCUCCUCUGCUCUGCCUACUCCUCCUAGCUACUGCUCAUGGAAGCAGCGGCAAGGCUCGUUUGGUACAGCAGCAGAACGAGGAGCUGCAUCUUCAAGGUCAGCAGCCGCAGCUGCUACAUGGAUGCAAGUAAAACUUGAUAUUUCUAGUCACUUUAAAUGCCACCAUAUAAAUUACUACUCCCUCUGUGAACUAAUAUAAGAGCGUUUAGAGUUCUACUUUAGUGAAUCUAAAAAAUCUUACAACACUCAUGAUUUUGCAUACUCUUAAGGUCCUCUCUCUCUCUCUCUGAUCUGCUCCGUUCUCUAACACUCGUCGGGAUUCAUAGUGAGACCCUGUUCAGCUCCAUUAGUUAAUUAUGAUUAAUUUAGUGUUUUGCCAAGUAUUUGUGCUGACAGUAGUGACAAUCUGCGCUAGAAAAUCAUCAUGCUGUGAAUUUAGGCUCUCUGCCUAAGCUUCCUACUUUCAACGCUGUAACAACAUCUUGCUGCAUUAGUGCAUUGACUAAACUUUCUUGCUGGCCUGCCAUUGUUUCCCUUAAAUUAGAAUGAACAUGCACAUGCCUCUGUUUAGCCUGGUCUUGUUGCCUAUCCCUGUCUUGUGGAAGAUCCAAGCUCUCAUUAUUUUGCCGAGUGUUUGUUUUGUUCUUCCUUGCCUCAUUUGCUUCUCGGCGGUAGUCAUGUGGUGUUUGUUGUUUGGUGGAGCCGCCUCAUUUGUUCUGUUUGAAACAAUCAACGCACAAUUGUUUAGCUAUGUAGUUCAGGAUGGUGUGUUCUUUAUUGCAGUAUGACUGGUAUGAUCUCGAGUACAUAAUUGCCAUGUCUUUUUACAAUUGGGGAAUAUGUUGUCAUGUUGAAUAAUUUAUCUGCUUGACUGUACCGUGUGUAGCCCUACUCAGCAAAGAUUAGUUCUGUUUGACUGUACCGUGAAUGAACAUGUCUUGUUCUACUUCAAGAAUUUAUUAACUGAAGAGAACCAACUCCAACAAGUGAUUAGUACAUGUUAAUUAUUAUUAGCUUCAAAAUCUGAUCGAUGCCUUCUUGCAAUAACAAUAAGCAUGAGAAUUUUUUGGUAGUUUCUAUGCCACUUUUCUACUCUGAUAUUUUCUUGUGUGCUAUACCAGAAUUUAUAAUUUCCUGAUCAAUGCACAAGGACGAUAUCUGGAGCGGUCAACAGGAUGAGCUGAUUUUUGAAAAAAAGUUUGAAGAGGUGCCCAGUUUGUGCUCGCUACCGAAGGAGCUCCAUGUUCAAGAAGAUUGAAGGCACAUGUAGAGCUUGUAUAUUCUCUAGUUAUUACACAUAGAGCUUGUAAAACCGUGAUUGAAAAUUUAUUAUGUGUUAUUUAUAGAGUAGCAACUCCAUACUGAUUUUGGUUGCUAUUAUUCGAAGUACUACUUGUAUUUUUUUGUCUGGCCAAUAUAAAUAUUGGUUAUUUAUUUACUAUGAAAUUGAAAUCCGAAGAAUAUGACAUUGACAAUUAGGACUCACUUACUAAAACCUGACAACUGGGACCAAUUAUCAGAACUUACAGUUGGGACCCAUCUGACUAAUUGACCCAUCGUAAAAAAAAGAAAAUGUAAUAAUAAAAAAAUCUGGAAUUGUUGAGCCCAAAAGGCCAUGGCCCAAAAAUAAAAAGGCCGAAUUGUAGGGUUUGGCC